AACGAACGCUGGCGGCAUGCCUAACACAUGCCAGUCGAACGAGACCUUCGGGUCUAGUGGCGCACGGGUGCGUAACGCGUGGGAAUCUGCCCUUGGGUUCGGAAUAACAGUUGGAAACGACUGCUAAUACCGGAUGAUGACGUAAGUCCAAAGAUUUAUCGCCCAAGGAUGAGCCCGCGUAGGAUUAGCUAGUUGGUGAGGUAAAGGCUCACCAAGGCGACGAUCCUUAGCUGGUCUGAGAGGAUGAUCAGCCACACUGGGACUGAGACACGGCCCAGACUCCUACGGGAGGCAGCAGUGGGGAAUAUUGGACAAUGGGCGAAAGCCUGAUCCAGAAAUGCCGCGUGAGUGAUGAAGGCCUUAGGGUUGUAAAGCUCUUUUACCCGGGAUGAUAAUGACAGUACCGGGAGAAUAAGCUCCGGCUAACUCCGUG
Molecule: ribosomal RNA, 433 nt
Filed under: uncultured bacterium
Lineage: Bacteria
Description: partial 16S ribosomal RNA
Rfam family: Bacterial small subunit ribosomal RNA
Source: RNAcentral